UACGGAGGGUGCAAGCGUUACUCGGAAUCACUGGGCGUAAAGCGCGCGCAGGCGGCUAGAUAAGUUGGAAGUGAAAUCCUAUGGCUCAACCAUAGAACUGCUUCCAAAACUGUUUAGCUAGAGUCUGGGAGGGGAAGAUGGAAUUAGUAGUGUAGGGGUAAAAUCCGUAGAGAUUACUAGGAAUACCAAAAGCGAAGGCGAUCUUCUGGAACAGUACUGACGCUGAGGCGUGAAAGCGUGGGGAGCAAACAGGAUUAGAUACCCUGGUAGUCCACGCCCUAAACGAUGAAUGUUAGUCGUCGGGACUCUAGUAGUUUCGGUGAUGCAGUUAACACAUUAAACAUUCCGCCUGGGGAGUACGGUCGCAAGAUUAAAACUCAAAGGAAUAGACGGGGACCCGCACAAGUGGUGGAGCAUGUGGUUUAAUUCGAAGAUACGCGAAGAACCUUACCUAGCCUUGACAUAUUUUAGAACUCCGCAGAGAUGUAGAGGUGCCUUCGGGAGCUAAUAUACAGGUGCUGCACGGCUGUCGUCAGCUCGUGUCGUGAGAUGUUGGGUUAAGUCCCGCAACGAGCGCAACCCUCGUUCUUAGUUACUAACGGUUCGGCCGAGGACUCUAAGAAGACUGCCUUCGUAAGGAGGAGGAAGGUGAGGACGACGUCAAGUCAUCAUGGCCCUUACGGCUAGGGCAACACACGUGCUACAAUGGUUAGGACAAUGAGACGCAAUACCGCGAGGUGGAGCAAAUCUAUAAACCUAAUCUCAGUUCGGAUUGUAGUCUGCAACUCGACUACAUGAAGCUGGAAUCACUAGUA
This 815-nucleotide ribosomal RNA is filed under the name uncultured Sulfurovum sp. Its description in RNAcentral is "bacterial SSU rRNA". It matches the Rfam family "Bacterial small subunit ribosomal RNA", at positions 524 to 1340 of the family's 1533-position model. Lineage: Bacteria; Pseudomonadati; Campylobacterota; Epsilonproteobacteria; Campylobacterales; Sulfurovaceae. The record is from RNAcentral.